UGUGUAGGCGGUUCGCCAAGUUCGGUGUGAAAUCUCCCGGCUUAACUGGGAGGGUGCGCCGAAUACUGGCGGGCUAGAGUGCGGGAGAGGAGAGCGGAAUUCCUGGUGUAGCGGUGAAAUGCGUAGAUAUCAGGAGGAACACCUGCGGUGUAGACGGCUCUCUGGACCGUUUCUGACGCUGAGACACGAAAGCGUGGGUAGCAAACAG
Molecule: ribosomal RNA, 208 nt
Filed under: uncultured Acidobacteriota bacterium
Lineage: Bacteria; Pseudomonadati; Acidobacteriota
Description: uncultured Acidobacteria bacterium partial 16S ribosomal RNA
Rfam family: Bacterial small subunit ribosomal RNA
Source: RNAcentral